This 87-nucleotide transfer RNA is filed under the name Actinomycetes bacterium. Its description in RNAcentral is "Actinobacteria bacterium (marine metagenome) tRNA-Leu". It matches the Rfam family "tRNA". Rfam says of the family: Transfer RNA (tRNA) molecules are approximately 80 nucleotides in length. Lineage: Bacteria; Bacillati; Actinomycetota; Actinomycetes. The record is from RNAcentral. RNAcentral also lists the same sequence under 1 other name.
GCCGGGGUGGCGGAAUUGGUAGACGCAAGGGACUUAAAAUCCCUCGAGGGUAACCUCGUGCCGGUUCGAUUCCGGCCCUCGGCACCA